RNAcentral lists this ribosomal RNA (401 nucleotides) under uncultured bacterium. RNAcentral's name for it is "partial 16S ribosomal RNA". It matches the Rfam family "Bacterial small subunit ribosomal RNA", at positions 360 to 775 of the family's 1533-position model. The record is from RNAcentral.
AAUAUUGGGCAAUGGGCGCAAGCCUGACCCAGCAACGCCGCGUGAAGGAAGAAGGNUUNNGGGUUNUNAACUUCUUUUACCAGNNNNNAAACAAAUGACAGUACCUGGAGAAUAAGCCACGGCUAACUACGUGCCAGCAGCCGCGGUAAUACGUAGGUGGCGAGCGUUAUCCGGAUUUACUGGGUGUAAAGGGCGUGUAGGCGGGAUGGCAAGUCAGGUGUGAAAUCUAUGGGCUCAACCCAUAAACUGCACUUGAAACUGUUAUUCUUGAGUGAUGGAGAGGCAAGUGGAAUUCCUAGUGUAGCGGUGAAAUGCGUAGAUAUUAGGAGGAACACCAGUGGCGAAGGCGACUUGCUGGACAUUAACUGACGCUGAGACGCGAAAGCGUGGGGAGCAAACAG